GCUCAACCGAGGAAGUGCUUCGAAAACUGGUAAACUUGAGUGCAGAAGAGGAAAGUGGAACUCCAUGUGUAGCGGUGGAAUGCGUAGAUAUAUGGAAGAACACCAGUGGCGAAGGCGGCUUUCUGGUCUGUAACUGACGCUGAGAUUCGAAAGCAUGGGUAGCAAACAGGAUUAGAUACCCUGGUAGUCCAUGCCGUAAACGAUGAGUGCUAAGUGUUGGAGGGUUUCCGCCCUUCAGUGCUGCAGCUAACGCAUUAAGCACUCCGCCUGGGGAGUACGAUCGCAAGAUUGAAACUCAAAGGAAUUGACGGGGGCCCGCACAAGCGGUGGAGCAUGUGGUUUAAUUCGAAGCAACGCGAAGAACCUUACCAGGUCUUGACAUACCAUGAAAAGCUAAGAGAUUAGUCUUUCCCUUCGGGGACAUGGAUACAGGUGGUGCAUGGUUGUCGUCAGCUCGUGUCGUGAGAUGUUGGGUUAAGUCCCGCAACGAGCGCAACCCUUAUUAUCAGUCGCCAGCAUUCAGUUGGGCACUCUGGUGAGACUGCCGGUGACAAACCGGAGGAAGGUGGGGACGACGUCAAAUCAUCAUGCCCCUUAUGACCUGGGCUACACACGUGCUACAAUGGUCGGUACAACG
This 637-nucleotide ribosomal RNA is filed under the name uncultured bacterium. RNAcentral's name for it is "bacterial SSU rRNA". It matches the Rfam family "Bacterial small subunit ribosomal RNA", at positions 607 to 1244 of the family's 1533-position model. The record is from RNAcentral.